UAGAGUUGAAUCAUGGCUCAGAUUGAACGCUGGCGGCAGGCCUAACACAUGCAAGUCGAGCGGCAGCACGGGUACUUGUACCUGGUGGCGAGCGGCGGACGGGUGAGUAAUGCCUAGGAAUCUGCCUGGUAGUGGGGGAUAACGUUCGGAAACGGACGCUAAUACCGCAUACGUCCUACGGGAGAAAGCAGGGGACCUUCGGGCCUUGCGCUAUCAGAUGAGCCUAGGUCGGAUUAGCUAGUUGGUGGGGUAAUGGCUCACCAAGGCGACGAUCCGUAACUGGUCUGAGAGGAUGAUCAGUCACACUGGAACUGAGACACGGUCCAGACUCCUACGGGAGGCAGCAGUGGGGAAUAUUGGACAAUGGGCGAAAGCCUGAUCCAGCCAUGCCGCGUGUGUGAAGAAGGUCUUCGGAUUGUAAAGCACUUUAAGUUGGGAGGAAGGGCAUUUACCUAAUACGUAAGUGCUUUGACGUUACCGACAGAAUAAGCACCGGCUACU
This 501-nucleotide ribosomal RNA is filed under the name Pseudomonas sp. CL3.110. Its description in RNAcentral is "bacterial SSU rRNA". It matches the Rfam family "Bacterial small subunit ribosomal RNA", at positions 1 to 501 of the family's 1533-position model. The record is from RNAcentral. Lineage: Bacteria; Pseudomonadati; Pseudomonadota; Gammaproteobacteria; Pseudomonadales; Pseudomonadaceae.